RNAcentral lists this ribosomal RNA (465 nucleotides) under uncultured bacterium. RNAcentral's name for it is "partial 16S ribosomal RNA". The stretch from base 54 to 465 matches the Rfam family "Bacterial small subunit ribosomal RNA", at positions 39 to 507 of the family's 1533-position model. The record is from RNAcentral.
GGGGGGGGGGGGGGGGGGGGGGGGGGGGGGCGGGGGGGGCGGGGCGGGCGGGGGGGGGGGGCUCGGGUGGGGAGCGGGGGGGUGGCGCGUGGGUAGCCGGCGCUUGACGUCGGGCUCGCCUCAGGAGCCGAGGGCUACUCCAGGCUAGGCCUCCUCGCUGCCUUGGUGGUGUGGGCAGGCUUCGGCGGUUGUGGCUUCACUCUCGGCUUCUCAGCUUGUUGGCUGGUUAGUGCCUUACCAAGGGUUUGACGGGUAGCCGGCCUGAGAGGGAGUCCGGCAACAUUGGGACUGAGAUACGGCCCAGACUCCUACGGGAGGCAGCAGUGGGGAAUAUUGCACAAUGGGCGGAAGCCUGAUGCAGCAACGCCGCGUGCGGGAUGACGGCCGUCGGGUUGUAAACCGCUUUCAGCAGGGGCGAAGCUUGUGGUGACGGUACCUGCAGAAGAAGCAACGGCUAACUACGUG